CAAAGAGUCCCUCCCGACUGUUUACCAAAAACACAGCACUCUGCUAACUCGUAAGAGGAUGUAUAGGGUGUGACGCCUGCCCGGUGCUCGAAGGUUAAUUGAUGGGGUUAGCAUUAGCGAAGCUCUUGAUCGAAGCCCGAGUAAACGGCGGCCGUAACUAUAACGGUCCUAAGGUAGCGAAAUUCCUUGUCGGUUAAAUACCGACCUGCAUGAAUGGCGUAACGAGAUGGGAGCUGUCUCAAAGAGGGAUCCAGUGAAAUUGUAGUGGAGGUGAAAAUUCCUCCUACCCGCGGCAAGACGGAAAGACCCCGUGGACCUUUACUACAGCUUGACACUGCUACUUGGAUAAGAAUGUGCAGGAUAGGUGGGAGGCUUUGAGUAUAUGACGCCAGUUGUAUAUGAGCCAUUGUUGAGAUACCACUCUUUCUUAUUUGGGUAGCUAACCAGCUUGAGUUAUCCUCAAGUGGGACAAUGUCUGGUGGGUAGUUUGACUGGGGCGGUCGCCUCCCAAAUAAUAACGGAGGCUUACAAAGGUUGGCUCAGAACGGUUGGAAAUCGUUCGUAGAGUAUAAAGGUAUAAGCCAGCUUAACUGCAAGACAUACAAGUCAAGCAGAGACGAAAGUCGGUCUUAGUGAUCCGGUGGUUCUGUGUGGAAGGGCCAUCGCUCAAAGGAUAAAAGGUACCCCGGGGAUAACAGGCUGAUCUCCCCCAAGAGCUCACAUCGACGGGGAGGUUUGGCACCUCGAUGUCGGCUCAUCGCAUCCUGGGGCUGGAGCAGGUCCCAAGGGUAUGGCUGUUCGCCAUUUAAAGCGGUACGCGAGCUGGGUUCAGAACGUCGUGAGACAGUUCGGUCCCUAUCUGCCGUGGGCGUAAGAAGAUUGAAGAGAUUUGACCCUAGUACGAGAGGACCGGGUUGAACAAACCACUGGUGUAGCUGUUGUUCUGCCAAGAGCAUCGCAGCGUAGCUAAGUUUGGAAAGGAUAAACGCUGAAAGCAUCUAAGCGUGAAGCCAACUCUAAGAUGAAUCUUCUCUAAGCUCUCUAGAAGACUACUAGUUUGAUAGGCUGGGUGUGUAAUGGAUGAAAGUCCUUUAGCUGACCAGUACUAAUAGAGCGUUUGGCUUAUCUUUAAUAAAGCAU
This 1140-nucleotide ribosomal RNA is filed under the name Campylobacter jejuni. RNAcentral describes it as "partial 23S ribosomal RNA". It matches the Rfam family "Bacterial large subunit ribosomal RNA", at positions 1783 to 2925 of the family's 2925-position model. Lineage: Bacteria; Pseudomonadati; Campylobacterota; Epsilonproteobacteria; Campylobacterales; Campylobacteraceae. The record is from RNAcentral.